RNAcentral lists this ribosomal RNA (246 nucleotides) under uncultured bacterium. RNAcentral describes it as "partial 16S ribosomal RNA". It matches the Rfam family "Bacterial small subunit ribosomal RNA", at positions 15 to 257 of the family's 1533-position model. The record is from RNAcentral.
GAUCCUGGCUCCGGAUGAACGCUAGCGGCAGGCUUAACACAUGCAAGUCGAGGGGCAGCGGGUUGUAGCAAUACACUGCCGGCGACCGGCGCACGGGUGCGUAACGCGUAUGCAACCUACCCAUAACAGGGGCAUAACACUGAGAAAUUGGUACUAAUUCCCCAUAACAUUCGAAGAGGCAUCUCUUUGGGUUGAAAACUCCGGUGGUUAUGGAUGGGCAUGCGUUGUAUUAGCUAGUUGGUGAGG